Non-coding RNA from Myotis davidii, 107 nucleotides. The record is from Rfam. NCBI's taxonomy places the organism in Eukaryota, Metazoa, Chordata, Mammalia, Chiroptera, Vespertilionidae.
GAGCUCACUUCGGCAGCACACAUACUAACGUUGGAGUGAUACAGAGAAGAUUAGGAUGGCCCCUGUGCAAAGAUGACACGCAAAUUCAUGAAGUGUUCCAUAUUUUA